UAGGGAAUAUUGCUUAAUGGGCGAAAGCCUGAAGCAGCAACGCCGCGUGUGCGAUGAAGGCCUUCGGGUUGUAAAGCACUUUUUGAGGGGAUGAGGAAGGACAGUACCCUCAGAAUAAGUCUCGGCUAACUACGUGCCAGCAGCCGCGGUAAAACGUAGGAGGCGAGCGUUAUCCGGAUUUACUGGGCGUAAAGCGCGUGCAGGCGGCUCGAAAAGUUGGAUGUGAAAGCUCCUGGCUUAACUGGGAGAGGUCGUUCAAUACUUUCGGGCUUGAGGAUGGGAGAGGGAGGUGGAAUUCCGGGUGUAGUGGUGAAAUGCGUAGAUAUCCGGAGGAACACCAGUGGCGAAGGCGGCCUCCUGGCCCAUUUCUGACGCUCAGACGCGAAAGCUAGGGUAGCAAACGGGAUUAGAGACCCCGGUAGUCCUAGCUGUAAACGAUGUAGACUUGGCGUUGGUGGGGUUCAAAUCCAUCAGUGCCGGAGCUAACGCGUUAAGUCUACCGCCUGGGGACUACGGCCGCAAGGUUAAAACUUAAGUGAAUUGACGGGGUCAUAGCUGUUUCCU
Molecule: ribosomal RNA, 564 nt
Filed under: uncultured bacterium
Lineage: Bacteria
Description: partial 16S ribosomal RNA
Rfam family: Bacterial small subunit ribosomal RNA
Source: RNAcentral